GCACCUGAAUCUUUCCUAUUCCUUGCUGUGCAGUGCAGGUUUUGGGGACAGUUGGUGCUACAGCAAUGCAGUGGAAAUCCAGACGGGUUUCUUUUCUUUCACCUGGAACUCAUCUCUACAGCUCUGCAACAUUU
Molecule: small nucleolar RNA, 134 nt
Organism: Nothoprocta perdicaria
Lineage: Eukaryota; Metazoa; Chordata; Aves; Tinamiformes; Tinamidae
Source: Ensembl